GUGCUCACCUUGGCAGCAUAUAUACUAACAUCAGAAUGAUACAGAGAAGAUUAGCACGGCCCUGUGCAAGGAUGACAUGCAAAUUCGGGAAGCAUUCCAUAUUUUA
This 106-nucleotide small nuclear RNA is filed under the name Spermophilus dauricus (Daurian ground squirrel). The record is from RNAcentral. Lineage: Eukaryota; Metazoa; Chordata; Mammalia; Rodentia; Sciuridae.